RNAcentral lists this ribosomal RNA (379 nucleotides) under uncultured Diaphorobacter sp. Its description in RNAcentral is "bacterial SSU rRNA". It matches the Rfam family "Bacterial small subunit ribosomal RNA", at positions 999 to 1382 of the family's 1533-position model. Lineage: Bacteria; Pseudomonadati; Pseudomonadota; Betaproteobacteria; Burkholderiales; Comamonadaceae. The record is from RNAcentral.
UUCAGAGAUGGAUACGUGCCCGAAAGGGAACCUGCACACAGGUGCUGCAUGGCUGUCGUCAGCUCGUGUCGUGAGAUGUUGGGUUAAGUCCCGCAACGAGCGCAACCCUUGCCAUUAGUUGCUACGAAAGGGCACUCUAAUGGGACUGCCGGUGACAAACCGGAGGAAGGUGGGGAUGACGUCAAGUCCUCAUGGCCCUUAUAGGUGGGGCUACACACGUCAUACAAUGGCUGGUACAGAGGGUUGCCAACCCGCGAGGGGGAGCUAAUCCCAUAAAGCCAGUCGUAGUCCGGAUCGCAGUCUGCAACUCGACUGCGUGAAGUCGGAAUCGCUAGUAAUCGCGGAUCAGAAUGUCGCGGUGAAUACGUUCCCGGGUCUU